RNAcentral lists this ribosomal RNA (258 nucleotides) under uncultured bacterium. RNAcentral's name for it is "partial 16S ribosomal RNA". It matches the Rfam family "Bacterial small subunit ribosomal RNA", at positions 793 to 1055 of the family's 1533-position model. The record is from RNAcentral.
GUCCACGCCUAACGAUGUCAACUGGUUGUUGGGUCUUCACUGACUCAGUAACGAAGCUAACGCGUGAAGUUGACCGCCUGGGGAGUACGGCCGCAAGGUUGAACUCAAGGAAUUGACGGGGACCCGCACAAGCGGUGGAUGAUGUGGUUUAAUUCGAUGCAACGCGAAACCUUAACCCACCUUUGACAUGUACGGAAUUUGCCAGAGAUGGCUUAGUGCUCGAAAGAGACCGUAACACAGGUGCUGCAUGGCUGUCGU